UACGUAGGGUGCGAGCGUUGUCCGGAAUUAUUGGGCGUAAAGAGCUUGUAGGCGGUCUGUCGCGUCUGCUGUGAAAAUCCGGGGCUCAACCCCGGACUUGCAGUGGGUACGGGCAGACUAGAGUGUGGUAGGGGAGACUGGAAUUCCUGGUGUAGCGGUGAAAUGCGCAGAUAUCAGGAGGAACACCAGUGGCGAAGGCGGCACUCUGGGCCGGUACUGACGCUGAGGAGCGAAAGCGUGGGGAGCGAACAGG
This 253-nucleotide ribosomal RNA is filed under the name uncultured bacterium. RNAcentral's name for it is "partial 16S ribosomal RNA". It matches the Rfam family "Bacterial small subunit ribosomal RNA", at positions 524 to 776 of the family's 1533-position model. The record is from RNAcentral.